This 30-nucleotide ribosomal RNA is filed under the name Penicillium poederi. Its description in RNAcentral is "Penicillium sp. MK-2017a partial 18S ribosomal RNA". The record is from RNAcentral. Lineage: Eukaryota; Fungi; Ascomycota; Eurotiomycetes; Eurotiales; Aspergillaceae.
CCCUAGGAAACUUGGGGGGUGAGUACACUG